This 194-nucleotide ribosomal RNA is filed under the name uncultured prokaryote. RNAcentral describes it as "partial 16S ribosomal RNA". It matches the Rfam family "Bacterial small subunit ribosomal RNA", at positions 524 to 717 of the family's 1533-position model. The record is from RNAcentral.
UACGAGGGGGGCGAGCGUUGUUCGGAAUUACUGGGCGUAAAGCGCACGUAGGUGGUUUGCUAAGCCAGCUGUGUAAUCCCCGGGCUCAACCUGGGCACUGCAGUUGGAACUGGCAAGCUAGAGUAGGGUAGAGGGGUGUGGAAUUCCAGGUGUAGCGGUGAAAUGCGUAGAUAUCAGGAGGAACACCGGUGGUG